UUAUUGUAAAAGUACUACUUUCGUAUAACCUCAAUGAUAUGGUUUGAGGGUAUCUACUUAGGAACCGUAAAUUCCUGGCUACGAAAAAUGUGCAAAUAGCC
Molecule: non-coding RNA, 101 nt
Filed under: Halalkalibacter akibai
Lineage: Bacteria; Bacillati; Bacillota; Bacilli; Caryophanales; Bacillaceae
Also listed under: 1 other name
Description: Bacillus akibai Guanine sequence
Rfam family: Purine riboswitch aptamer
About the family: Riboswitches are metabolite binding domains within certain messenger RNAs that serve as precision sensors for their corresponding targets. Allosteric rearrangement of mRNA structure is mediated by ligand binding, and this results in modulation of gene expression.
Source: RNAcentral